GAUGAACGCUGGCGGCGUGCCUAAUACAUGCAAGUCGAGCGAACGGACGAGAAUCUUGCUUCUCUUAUGUUAGCGGCGGACGGGUGAGUAACACGUGGAUAACCUACCUAUAAGACUGGGAUAACUUCGGGAAACCUGAGCUAAUACCGGAUAAUAUUUUGAACCGCAUGGUUCUAAAGUGAAAGACGUUCUUGCUGUCACUUAUAGAUGUAUCCGCGCUGCAUUAGCUAGUUGGUAAGGUAACGGCUUACCAAGGCAACGAUGCAUAGCCGACCUGAGAGGGUGAUCGGCCACACUGGAACUGAGAAACGGUCCAGACUCCUACGGGAGGCAGCAGUAGGGAAUCUUCCGCAAUGGGCGAAAGCCUGACGGAGCAACGCCGCGUGAGUGAUGAAGGUCUUCGGAUCGUAAAACUCUGUUAUUAGGGAAGAACAUAUGUGUAAGUAACUGUGCACAUCUGGACGGUACAUAAUCAGAAAGCCACGGCUAACUACGU
RNAcentral lists this ribosomal RNA (496 nucleotides) under uncultured bacterium. RNAcentral describes it as "partial 16S ribosomal RNA". It matches the Rfam family "Bacterial small subunit ribosomal RNA", at positions 28 to 506 of the family's 1533-position model. The record is from RNAcentral.